Molecule: ribosomal RNA, 253 nt
Filed under: uncultured bacterium
Lineage: Bacteria
Description: partial 16S ribosomal RNA
Rfam family: Bacterial small subunit ribosomal RNA
Source: RNAcentral
UACAGAGGGUGCGAGCGUUAAUCGGAAUUACUGGGCGUAAAGCGUACGUAGGUGGCGACGUAAGUCGGGUGUGAAAGCCCCGGGCCCAACCUGGGAAUUGCAUUCGAGACUGCAUUGCUGGAGUACGGAAGAGGAGGGCGGAAUUCCCGGUGUAGCGGUGAAAUGCGUAGAUAUCGGGAGGAACAUCAGUGGCGAAGGCGGCCCUCUGGUCCAGUACUGACACUCAAGUGCGAAAGCGUGGGGAGCAAACAGG